Molecule: ribosomal RNA, 532 nt
Filed under: Colletotrichum gloeosporioides
Lineage: Eukaryota; Fungi; Ascomycota; Sordariomycetes; Glomerellales; Glomerellaceae
Description: eukaryotic LSU rRNA
Rfam family: 5.8S ribosomal RNA (bases 159-312)
Source: RNAcentral
UCUAUACCCUUUGUGACAUACCUAUCACUGUUGCUUCGGCGGGUAGGGUCUCCGCGACCCUCCCGGCCUCCCGCCUCCGGGCGGGUCGGCGCCCGCCGGAGGAUAACCAAACUCUGAUUUAACGACGUUUCUUCUGAGUGGUACAAGCAAAUAAUCAAAACUUUUAACAACGGAUCUCUUGGUUCUGGCAUCGAUGAAGAACGCAGCGAAAUGCGAUAAGUAAUGUGAAUUGCAGAAUUCAGUGAAUCAUCGAAUCUUUGAACGCACAUUGCGCCCGCCAGCAUUCUGGCGGGCAUGCCUGUUCGAGCGUCAUUUCAACCCUCAAGCUCUGCUUGGUGUUGGGGCCCUACAGCUGAUGUAGGCCCUCAAAGGUAGUGGCGGACCCUCCCGGAGCCUCCUUUGCGUAGUAACUUUACGUCUCGCACUGGGAUCCGGAGGGACUCUUGCCGUAAAACCCCCCAAUUUUCCAAAGGUUGACCUCGGAUCAGGUAGGAAUACCCGCUGAACUUAAGCAUAUCAAUAAGCGGAGGAA